Molecule: ribosomal RNA, 1248 nt
Filed under: Lygus hesperus (lygus bug)
Lineage: Eukaryota; Metazoa; Arthropoda; Insecta; Hemiptera; Miridae
Description: 16S ribosomal RNA
Rfam family: Archaeal large subunit ribosomal RNA (bases 817-1171)
Source: RNAcentral
UAAAUUUUAUAUUAAUAUUAUUUUAUAAAAUAUUAAUAUUAAAAAAAUAAUUUUUUGUUUUAGUAGCAAAUUGAAUUAAAUAUAUGAUUUAUAGUAAAUAGUACUGUGAAGGAAUUAUUAAAAUUUUUAUAAAAGUAGCUAAUUUGGGCUUACCUUUUGUAUCAGGGUUUAUUAAUUUUUUUAAUUUAAAAUUUAUUUUCCCGAAAUUUUAAGAUAUAUAAUAAAAUUACAUUUAAUGUUUUAAGAUUAUUAUGAAUUUUAUUAUAGUGAAUAUAUUUUAUUCAAUUAAAAAUAUCUGGUUUUUUUAUAAAUAAAUUUAAUUUAUGAUUAUUUUAAGUGAAAUAUUAUAUUUUGUUAUAAUCUUCAAUUUUCUAGGAUAAGCUAGAUUAUUUUUCUAAAAAUUAAAUUUAUAUUGAAUUUAAGGUAGGUUUAAUAAUAUCCAUCAUUUAUUUUUUUAUAAUUAUUUUUUAUAUAAAAUUUUAUAUAAUUUUGUUUUAGAUUUUUAUAAAAAUUCAUAUUUUAAUAUAAAAAAUAUUGUAAUUAUGAUAAAAUUAGUAUUUUAUAUAAAUAAAAUAUAGUAAUUCGGCAAAUGUUAUUUUCGCCUGUUUAACAAAAACAUGGUCUUUUGUUUAUAUAAAAGAUCUAACCUGCCCUAUGAUUUAUUUUAAAUGGCUGCAGUAUUUUGACUGUACAAAGGUAGCAUAAUCAUUUGUCUUUUAAUUGAAGGCUGGUAUGAAUGGUUGGAUGAAAAAUAUACUUUCUUUAUUUUAUAAAAAUAAAUUAACUUUUUAGUCAAAAGGCUAAGAUUUUAUUGUAGGACGAGAAGACCCUAUAGAACUUUAUUUUCUUUUUAUAUAACUUUUUUAGUUUUUAAUAAGUUUAUAUAUUUAUGUUAAUUAUGUUGGGGUGACAGAAAAAAUAAUAUAACUUUUUCUAUUUUUUUCAUUUAUUUAUGUGUUUUUGAUCCUAUAUUAUGGAUAAUAAGAUUAAGUUACCUUAGGGAUAACAGCGUUAUUUUCUUAAAGAGUUCUUAUCGAUAAGAAAGUUUGCGACCUCGAUGUUGGAUUAAAAUAAGUGAUAGGAGCAGAAUAUUAUUUACUAGGUCUGUUCGACCUUUAAAUUUUUACAUGAUCUGAGUUCAGACCGGCGUGAGCCAGGUCGGUUUCUAUCCUUAAUUUAUUAUAAAAUCUUAGUACGAAAGGACCAGAUUUUUGGAAUAAUUUUUUAUUAUGAUUAUAUUAAUGUUUU